RNAcentral lists this ribosomal RNA (441 nucleotides) under uncultured bacterium. Its description in RNAcentral is "partial 16S ribosomal RNA". It matches the Rfam family "Bacterial small subunit ribosomal RNA", at positions 337 to 795 of the family's 1533-position model. The record is from RNAcentral.
CCCUACGGGGAGCUGCAGUGGGGGAUAUUGCACAAUGGGGGAAACCCUGAUGCAGCGACGCCGCGUGGGUGAAGAAGCGCCUCGGCGCGUAAAGCCCUGUCAGCAGGGAAGAAAAUGACGGUACCUGAAGAAGAAGCCCCGGCUAACUACGUGCCAGCAGCCGCGGUAAUACGUAGGGGGCAAGCGUUAUCCGGAUUUACUGGGUGUAAAGGGGGCGCAGACGGCGAUGCAAGCCAGGAGUGAAAGCCCGGGGCCCAACCCCGGGACUGCUCUUGGAACUGCGUGGCUGGAGUGCAGGAGGGGCAGGCGGAAUUCCUGGUGUAGCGGUGAAAUGCGUAGAUAUCAGGAGGAAAACCGGUGGCGAAGGCGGCCUGCUGGACUGCAACUGACGUUGAGGCCCGAAAGCGUGGGGAGCAAACAGGAUUAGAUACCCUAGUAGUC